This 303-nucleotide ribosomal RNA is filed under the name uncultured bacterium. Its description in RNAcentral is "partial 16S ribosomal RNA". It matches the Rfam family "Bacterial small subunit ribosomal RNA", at positions 507 to 807 of the family's 1533-position model. The record is from RNAcentral.
AGCAGUAGCCGCGGUAAUACGGAGGGGGCUAGCGUUGUUCGGAAUUACUGGGCGUAAAGCGCACGUAGGCGGCUUGGUAAGUUAGAGGUGAAAGCCUGGAGCCCAACUCCAGAAUUGCCUUUAAGACUGCCGAGCUAGCAGGUGAGAGAGGUAAGUGGAAUUCCGAGUGUAGAGGUGAAAUUCCUAGAUAUUCGGAAGAACACCAGUGGCGAAGGCGGCUUACUGGCUCAUACUGGACGCUGAGGUGCGAAAGCGUGGGGAGCAAACAGGAUUAGAUACCCCCGUAGUCCCUGUCUCUUAUAC